ACUUGUAGUCGCAGCUACUCGGGAGGCUGAGGCAGGAGAAUCGCUUGAACCCAGGAGGCAGAGGUUGCAGUGAGCCGAGAUAGUGCCACUGCACUCCGGCCUGGCGACCCAGCAAGACUUGGUCUCAAAAAAAAAAAAAAAAAAAAAAUACAAAGUUGAAAGCUGACAAUCAAUGCAAGGUAAUACAGGUGGCAUUUUAAGUAGGGUGGUCAUGGUGGGCCUCAUGAAGGUGCCAUUUGAACAGACUUGAAGAGGAGAGAGACUGAGCCAUGCAGAUAUGUGCAAAGGAAGAACCUUCCAGAAUCACCCUCAUGUACCCCUAUGCUCUGUACAUACCCAGCGCUCUGCACUGAGGCAGACCCUAAAGCUGCAGUGGGAAUGGAGGUGGAUACACUUAUGGAAAGAAAGACUUCUUCAAAGAAUGGUGGUGACCCAGGUCUCGCCUUCCUGCUGUGGCUCUUAGAGGACCUGGAGUUGGAGAGGGGAAGUCACUGGCAUGUGGAGGAAGACGAGGAGAGGAGGGGGAGGCCACAGUGUGUCCCACCUUCACUGCACCUCUGCUCUCUCUCUCCUAUAUCGAGUGCCUCCCUCCCCAGAGUUGUGGUCACUGAUAAGGAGGACCCUGAGGGCAACCACACCUUGCCAUGCAGAGCAGCUGGCUUCUCACCUGCCAACCUCACUCUGACCUGGCUGCAGGAAGGGAAGGAGCCAAUUCUGGACUCAAGACUCAAGGGGACCAGACCCAGAGAGAUGAGACAUACCAGGGCUGGGCAGCUGUGGGGGUCCUUCCAGAGAGGAGCUGAGAUACACCUACCUGGAGGGGCCCCAGGGCCUGGAGGGGCUCCUCAGUGUGACUGGGGAGCUGUCCUUCCUCCAGGCCCAGGGAAUUGAAAAAAGAAGGAGGAACAGUGAAAUACGCCACAGGAAAGAAAAAUCUUAGUGAUCGCUCCUGCUGUCUCUCUCCUUUUGUCUAUUCUGGCAAAUUUUGUAAGUGAAAUUUGUUACCAAGAUGUGAAAAUCUUAUUAUAAGAAAGUCUCUAAAUAUUUGAGAAUAAAAUUAUCAAUGUCUCAGCUCUGCA
Molecule: long non-coding RNA, 1079 nt
Filed under: Piliocolobus tephrosceles (Ugandan red Colobus)
Lineage: Eukaryota; Metazoa; Chordata; Mammalia; Primates; Cercopithecidae
Description: lncRNA (ENSPTEG00000031235.1)
Source: RNAcentral